CAUGCCCAAAAAUCAGAUAAAUAUGUGAAAAGGCUCCUUCUAACAGAAAAACUCUUCAACUGGGUGCUGAUUUAAAACAUCGAUGAUUUUUCUUGAUGUUUUCCAAAGAGGUGCCUUUAUCUAAUUUCUCAUGCCCCAUCAGGAAUAACCACCAGAGAAUUUAAAUAAAGAGAAGUCUUCUUUCAGAAGUACUCUUCAGGGGGGUGCUAUUUUGAAUUGGCAUCUUUUCUCUCGAUGUUUCUCCAAAGAGGUGCAAGCCAUCUCAAGGGGCGUCAACCAUUUCCAUGGUUGGAUCUUCAUCC
This 302-nucleotide long non-coding RNA is filed under the name Elaeis guineensis (African oil palm). Its description in RNAcentral is "long non-coding RNA (EGUI_LNC049611)". Lineage: Eukaryota; Viridiplantae; Streptophyta; Magnoliopsida; Arecales; Arecaceae. The record is from RNAcentral.